GCAUUAAUGGGGUAGUGGUAACCUGGGUCGUUGCCAUUUUCUGGAUGUCGACCCGCCGGGGGUUCGAUUCCCUCUUAAUGCA
RNAcentral lists this transfer RNA (82 nucleotides) under Laccaria amethystina LaAM-08-1. It matches the Rfam family "tRNA". Rfam says of the family: Transfer RNA (tRNA) molecules are approximately 80 nucleotides in length. Their secondary structure includes four short double-helical elements and three loops (D, anti-codon, and T loops). The record is from Rfam by way of RNAcentral. Lineage: Eukaryota; Fungi; Basidiomycota; Agaricomycetes; Agaricales; Hydnangiaceae.